UGGGGAAUAUUGGACAAUGGGGGAAACCCUGAUCCAGCGAUGCCGCGUGUGUGAAGAAGGCCUGCGGGUUGUAAAGCACUUUUAUCGGGGAGGAUUGCCCUGCUUUUUAAUAGAGAGCGGGGUUGACGUUACCCGAAGAAACAGCACCGGCUAACUCUGUGCCAGCAGCCGCGGUAAUACAGAGGGUGCAAGCGUUAAUCGGAAUUAUUGGGCGUAAAGGGCGCGUAGGUGGUUAGAUAAGUGGUGGGUGAAAGGCCUGGGCUCAACCUAGGGAUUGCCUACCAGACUGUUUAGCUUGAGUACAGUAGAGGGAAGUGGAAUUUCCGGAGUAGCGGUGAAAUGCGUAGAUACCGGAAGGAACACCAGUGGCGAAGGCGACUUCCUGGACUGAUACUGACACUGAGGCGCGAAAGCGUGGGGAGCGAACAGGAUUAGAUACCCCCGUAGUCC
Molecule: ribosomal RNA, 450 nt
Filed under: uncultured bacterium
Lineage: Bacteria
Description: bacterial SSU rRNA
Rfam family: Bacterial small subunit ribosomal RNA
Source: RNAcentral